Molecule: transfer RNA, 73 nt
Filed under: Chloroflexi bacterium 13_1_40CM_4_68_4
Lineage: Bacteria; Bacillati; Chloroflexota
Description: tRNA-Arg
Rfam family: tRNA
About the family: Transfer RNA (tRNA) molecules are approximately 80 nucleotides in length. Their secondary structure includes four short double-helical elements and three loops (D, anti-codon, and T loops).
Source: RNAcentral
GACCCCGUAGCUCAGUGGAUAGAGCGGAUGGCUACGAACCAUCAGGCCGGGCGUUCGAGUCGCCCCGGGGUCG